Molecule: small RNA, 132 nt
Filed under: Klebsiella pneumoniae
Lineage: Bacteria; Pseudomonadati; Pseudomonadota; Gammaproteobacteria; Enterobacterales; Enterobacteriaceae
Description: RtT sRNA
Rfam family: RtT RNA
About the family: This family represents a bacterial cis-regulatory element known as RtT RNA. The exact function of RtT is unknown although it is thought that it may be involved in changing the cellular response in relation to amino acid starvation.
Source: RNAcentral
UAUUCUGCCCCACGGGGAAGGAUGAGAAGCUUCGACCAAGGUUCGACUCGAGCGAAGCGAUAGAACGUUGCCGCAGGCAACGGCCCGAAGGGCGAAGCGCUUUAGCGCCGAGUAAUCCUUCCCCCACCACUG